RNAcentral lists this ribosomal RNA (1347 nucleotides) under uncultured organism. RNAcentral's name for it is "bacterial SSU rRNA". It matches the Rfam family "Bacterial small subunit ribosomal RNA", at positions 98 to 1438 of the family's 1533-position model. The record is from RNAcentral.
GCGCACGGGUGAGUAUCGCGUUUGCAAUUUACCUCUAACUGGAGGAUAGCCCGAAGAAAUUCGGAUUAAUACUCCAUAAUGUCAUUUAAUCGCAUGAUUUUAUGAUUAAAGCUACGGCGGUUAGAGAUGAGCAUGCGUGUCAUUAGCUAGUUGGUGAGGUAACGGCUCACCAAGGCUGCGAUGACUAGGGGUUCUGAGAGGAUGAUCCCCCAAACUGGUACUGAGACACGGACCAGACUCCUACGGGAGGCAGCAGUGAGGAAUAUUGGGCAAUGGGCGCAAGCCUGACCCAGCCAUGCCGCGUGCAGGAUGACUGCCCUAUGGGUUGUAAACUGCUUUUAUACGGGAAGAAUGGUUCCUACGUGUAGGAAUUUUGACGGUACCCGUAAAGACUAAGCAACCGGCCUAACUCCGUUGCAGAAGCCGCGGUAAUACCGGAGGAGCCAAACCGUAAUCCGGAUUCAUUGGGUUUAAAGGGUGCGCAGGAGGAGUAUCAAGUCAGUGGGCGAAAUCCUGCAGCGUAACUCGUAGAACUGCCAUAGAUACUGAUAUUCUCGAAAAUACUUGAGGUGGGCAGAAUGUGGUAAUGUAGCGGUUAAAUGCUUAGAUACUACCACAGGACACCGAUUGCGAAGGCAGCUCACUAAACUAAUAUUGACGCUGAGGCACGAAAGCCGUGGGGAACGAACAGGAUUAGAUACCCUGGUAGUCCACGCUGUAAACUAUGAUCACUCGCUGUUGGCAAUACAUCGUCAGCGGCUGAGCGAAAGCAUUAAGUGAUCCACCUGGGGAUUACGAUCGCAAGAUUGAAACUCAAAGGAAUUGACGGGGGCCCGCACAAGCGGAGGAACAUGUGGUUUAAUUCGAUGAUACGCGAGGAACCUUACCUGGGCUUAAAUGCAUAUCGACGUUUCGGGAAGCCGGAAUUCCAUAGGGCGAACUGCAAGGUGCUGCAUGGCUGUCGUCAGCUCGUGCCGUGAGGUGUCGGGUUAAGUCCCAUAACGAGCGCAACCCUUAUCGUUAGUUGCCAGCGGGUAAUGCCGGGGACUCUAACGAAACUGCCGGUGUAAACCGUGAGGAAGGUGGGGAUGACGUCAAGUCAGCACGGCCCUUAUGUCCAGGGCUACACACGUGUUACAAUGGCCGAUACAAAGGGCAGCUACCAUGCAAAUGGAUGCUAAUCUCGAAAAUCGGUCUUAGUUCGGAUUGAAGUCUGCAACUCGACUUCAUGAAGCUGGAUUCGCUAGUAAUCGCGUAUCAGCCAUGGCGCGGUGAAUACGUUCCCGGGCCUUGUACACACCGCCCGUCAAGCCAUGGAAGCUUGGGUACCUGAAGUCCGUAACCGCA